RNAcentral lists this ribosomal RNA (273 nucleotides) under uncultured bacterium. RNAcentral's name for it is "partial 16S ribosomal RNA". It matches the Rfam family "Bacterial small subunit ribosomal RNA", at positions 524 to 796 of the family's 1533-position model. The record is from RNAcentral.
UACGGAGGGUCCAAGCGUUAAUCGGAAUUACUGGGCGUAAAGCGCGCGUAGGUGGCUUGUUAAGUCAGAUGUGAAAGCCCCGGGCUUAACCUGGGAACUGCAUUUGAUACUGGCAAGCUAGAGUAUAGUAGAGGCAAGUGGAAUUUCCUGUGUAGCGGUGAAAUGCGUAGAUAUAGGAAGGAACACCAGUGGCGAAGGCGGCUUGCUGGACUAAUACUGACACUGAGGUGCGAAAGCGUGGGGAGCAAACAGGAUUAGAUACCCGGGUAGUCC